CUGAUUUGUAUUAAAGGGCUGCGGUAAAUUAACCGUGCAAAGGUAGCAUAAUCAGUAGUCUUUUAAUUGAAGGCUGGAAUGAACGGUUGGACGAAAAGAAAGCUGUCUUUGUUGUUAUUAUUGAAUUUAACAUUUGUGUGAAAAGGCAUGAAUAGAUUGAGGGGACGAUAAGACCCUAUAAAAUUUAAUAUAUUUUAUUAUUUUUUGAAAAAGUUGAUUAAUUAUAAAAUGAGAUUAAGUAUUUUGCUGGGGCGGCAUGAAUAUAAAUUUACUAACUGUUUAUUAAAUUUAAUAUGAUUUAUAGAUUAUGGUCCUUUAUUAAGGAGUAAAGAGUAAAUUACUUUAGGGAUAACA
Molecule: ribosomal RNA, 354 nt
Filed under: Synalpheus stimpsonii complex sp. A KMH-2014
Lineage: Eukaryota; Metazoa; Arthropoda; Malacostraca; Decapoda; Alpheidae
Description: Synalpheus stimpsonii A KMH-2014 partial 16S ribosomal RNA
Source: RNAcentral